Molecule: unclassified non-coding RNA, 208 nt
Filed under: rhizosphere metagenome
Description: partial ribosomal RNA internal transcribed spacer region
Source: RNAcentral
GUAGGUGAACCUGCGGAAGGAUCACUAGUGAAUACACCGGGAGCGUCUUAACUGACCUCCCAACCCUUCACAAUCCACAUACACCUGUGCACUGUUUUGGCUUUUGAGCAAUCGAAAGCCAAUCAUUUUAUACAAACUCUUAGUUUAAUGAAUGUAAACGUUUUAUAUAAACAAAAUAAAACUUUCAACAACGGAUCUCUUGGUUCUC